Non-coding RNA from Picea glauca (white spruce), 121 nucleotides. The record is from Rfam. Lineage: Eukaryota; Viridiplantae; Streptophyta; Pinopsida; Pinales; Pinaceae.
GCAUGCCUAUAGCAUAGCGUUAAUGCAUCGGAUCCCAUUAGAACUCUGCAGUUAAGUGCACUCAGGCCAUAGUAGUAUUUGUAUGGGUGACUACCCAGAAAUUCCUAAUGUUUUACAUGCU